AUGGUGGUGGCGGGGCCUCGGUUGUCCUGCUCAUGUGUGGGGAACCCCGGAUCUAGAGCGGCGGCUCCAUUGGCAAGGCACGGCCGGCUAACAGCCAUCCGGGUGGCGGAUCCGGUGUCUCGGCCGCGCGGGGGGCCGAAUCCGGUGGUCGUUGGCGGCCGGCACCGGCUUAUGCGGUGGUCGGUGUGCACGAUCUGGCGCGUCCCUUCCUCCCCUGUUCGGCGUGCGGGCUAG
Molecule: ribosomal RNA, 234 nt
Filed under: Triticum aestivum (bread wheat)
Lineage: Eukaryota; Viridiplantae; Streptophyta; Magnoliopsida; Poales; Poaceae
Description: partial small subunit ribosomal RNA
Source: RNAcentral